Molecule: non-coding RNA, 226 nt
Filed under: Gossypium hirsutum (cotton)
Lineage: Eukaryota; Viridiplantae; Streptophyta; Magnoliopsida; Malvales; Malvaceae
Description: Bacterial large subunit ribosomal RNA
Rfam family: Bacterial large subunit ribosomal RNA
Source: Rfam by way of RNAcentral
UGAAUAGGUUCGGGAGACUGUUUAUCAGUCUCCGUAAAGUCGUAAGACCAUGCAUGGGACUAUCGCUUGUCUAAUGUUGGAAGGUCAGGAUAGUUGGUGACCUAAUGAUAGGAGAGCCAGUGACCAAAGCCCCUAUAAAUGGCGGCCGUAACUAUAAUAGUCGUAAGAUAAUAAAAUUCCUUGUCAGGUAAGUUCCGACCCGCACGAAAGGCGUAACGAUUUGGGA